CCUCCCUCCUUCGCUGGCGCCAGCAGUAGCAGACCCGUUCUGCUAGUCGAGCAUCCGCAACUUUCGGCGGGGGAUGCCGGCGAGACAACCUGGAUCGGGGGAGGCUACCGGGCGAUCAGCCCCAUGCUAAUCCCGAGCGGAGCACCGAGGGAGUGAUCCUUCGGCUGCCCGUGUAGAGCGCGCAAAGGUGUCGGUGGGCCUUCGGGCCUGCUUGAGGGACGUGCCGUCCCCUGUGAAAACAGGUCGUUGUCCGGAGUGCCGCCGCACAAAGGACCGCGAGCCGCUGGGCUUCCCGCCCGCGGUGGAUCCCCCAUUGAACGGCCAGCAGCCGCGGUAAUUCCAGCUCCAAUAGCGUAUAUUAAAGUUGUUGCAGUUAAAAAGCUCGUAGUUGAACCUUGGGCCUGGCUGGCCGGUCCGCCGCAAGGCGUGCACUGGUCCGGCCGGGCUCCUCCUUCUGGUGAACCCCAUGCCCUUCACUGGGCGUGGUGGGGACCCAGGACAUUUACUGUGAAAAAAUUAGAGUGUUCAAAGCAGGCCUUUGCUCGGAUACAUUAGCAUGGAAUAAUAAAAUAGGGCGGGCCCCCUAUUUUGUUGGUUUCUAGGGGAGCCGCAAUGAUUAAAAGGGUCAGUCAGGGGCAUCAGUAUUCAAUCGUCAGAGGUGAAAUUCUUGGAUCGAUUGAAGACUAACUACUGCGAAAGCAUUUGCCAGGGAUGUUUUCAUUAAUCAGGAACGAAAGUUAGGGGAUCGAAGACGAUCAGAUACCGUCGUAGUCUUAACCAUAAACUAUGCCGACUAGGGAUCGGAGGGGGUCUGCUAGAGCCCCCUUCGGCACCUUACGAGAAAUCAAAGUCUUUGGGUCUGGGGAGUAUCGCACCGC
Molecule: ribosomal RNA, 878 nt
Filed under: Zeloasperisporium wrightiae
Lineage: Eukaryota; Fungi; Ascomycota; Dothideomycetes
Description: bacterial SSU rRNA
Rfam family: Eukaryotic small subunit ribosomal RNA (bases 200-878)
Source: RNAcentral